Molecule: ribosomal RNA, 293 nt
Filed under: uncultured bacterium
Lineage: Bacteria
Description: partial 16S ribosomal RNA
Rfam family: Archaeal small subunit ribosomal RNA
Source: RNAcentral
GUGCCAGCAGCCGCGGUAAUACCGGCAGCACGAGUGAUGGCCGAUAUUAUUGGGCCUAAAGCGUCCGUAGCCGGCCGGACAAGUCCGUUGGGAAAUCUGCUCGCUUAACGAGCAGGCGUCCAGCGGAAACUGUCCGGCUUGGGGCCGGAAGAUUCGAGGGGUACGUCCGGGGUAGGAGUGAAAUCCUGUAAUCCUGGACGGACCGCCGGUGGCGAAAGCGCCUCGAGAGGACGGACCCGACGGUGAGGGACGAAAGCUAGGGUCUCGAACCGGAUUAGAAACCCCGGUAGUCC